Molecule: long non-coding RNA, 838 nt
Organism: Xenia sp. Carnegie-2017
Lineage: Eukaryota; Metazoa; Cnidaria; Anthozoa; Malacalcyonacea; Xeniidae
Exons: 3
Source: RefSeq, a predicted model, not a curated record
UGGGUAUCGAUUUUUUUCUAUAAUCAAAUAGUUCUAUCUUUCCUGAUCACUUUGGCAUAAUUUUUAUGCAUAUUGAAGCACGGGAUCAACAAUAAAUUUUUGCUCAAAGUUGGGUUACGCGUGCGAAUUUUUACCACUGAAAUAUUAUACGGAUGUGACGUAAUAAAAAGGACGGAAGUCGAAGUAGGAGCAUUGAUUUACUAGUAUUUUGUUAGAUUUUUAACACAUAUACACAAUAAAAUAUGAGUUAUUCAAGCAGUGAAAGCGAACGCAGUUCGGAUACUGAAAACUCAGAUAUGGCAAAUGAAAAUUUACUUUCAAAUUCCGGCGAUGAGGAUACAAUUGUGGCUAAUUCAGUGGUAAAUCCUUACGAAAAUGAACCUCUUGCGAACGCAGUCGGAGAGAAUUUUGUGUCGGUCGAAGAAGACGCAGAUGGCUUAGAACCUCGAACAUUGGAAGCGAGGUUCGAAGGAACCUUUCAAUUAGAUAAGUGGUGUGCAUGUAGCUUAGGUCGUACUCAACUGCUGACAGAUGCCAUUGAAUACCGUUGUUGUCAAUAGGUUGGGCCUACUUUGCAUAAACUGGUAUUCGAUGUUAGCAUUGAAAAAAUUAGCUGUGUUACUCUUUACAAAGAGUACACGAUUAUGACACAUGCUACAGUCUUGAAGAAUGUUGGAAGAAUGUUGGCUCACUUCUAAGAGACCAAGAUGGAAGGUCAUACAAGCGUAUGACCAAGAAUACAUGAAAAUGAAAUGCACUGGCCAUACCUAUUAUACAUGGUAGCAUGAACAACUUACAUGUGGGAAACAAUGGUGUUGAAGAUAGUUGUUUCCUAUCC